Molecule: ribosomal RNA, 449 nt
Filed under: uncultured bacterium
Lineage: Bacteria
Description: partial 16S ribosomal RNA
Rfam family: Bacterial small subunit ribosomal RNA
Source: RNAcentral
AAUGAACGCUGGCGGCAGGCCUAACACAUGCAAGUCGAACGGAUCCUUCGGGAUUAGUGGCGGACGGGUGAGUAACGCGUGGGAACAUACCCUUUGGUACGGAAUAGCCUCGGGAAACUGGGAGUAAUACCGUAUGUGGUCGAGAGACGAAAGAUUUAUCGCCAAAGGAUUGGCCCGCGUUGGAUUAGGUAGUUGGUGGGGUAAUGGCCUACCAAGCCGACGAUCCAUAGCUGGUUUGAGAGGAUGAUCAGCCACACUGGGACUGAGACACGGCCCAGACUCCUACGGGAGGCAGCAGUGGGGAAUCUUAGACAAUUGGGGAAACCCUGAUCUAGCCAUGCCGCGUGAUCGAUGAAGGCCUUAGGGUUGUAAAGAUCUUUCAGGUGGGAAGAUAAUGACUGUACCACCAGAAGAAGCCCCGGCUAACUCCGUGCCAGCCGCCGCCGUAA